GACGAACGCUGGCGGCGUGCCUAAUACAUGCAAGUAGAACGCUGAAGGAGGAGCUUGCUCUUCUGGAUGAGUUGCGAACGGGUGAGUAACGCGUAGGUAACCUGCCUGGUAGCGGGGGAUAACUAUUGGAAACGAUAGCUAAUACAGCAUAAGAGAAGAUGUUGCAGGGCAAUUACUUAAAAGUUGCAAUUGCAUCACUACCAGAUGGAGCUGCGUUGUAUUAGAGAGUUGGGGGGGUAACGGCUUACCAAGGCGACGAUACAUAGCCGACCUGAGAGGGUGAUCGGCCACAAUGGGACUGGGACACGGGUCAAGAUCCUACGGGAGGCAGCAGGAGGGGAUCUUCGGCAAUGGACGGAAGUCUGGCCGAGCCACGCCGGGUGGGUGGAGAAGGUUUUCGGGUCGUAAAGCUCUGUUGUAAGGGAAGGACGAGUAUGAGGGUAAAAAGUUGACGCUGUGACGGUACCUAAACAGAAAGGGACGGCUAACUACGUG
This 495-nucleotide ribosomal RNA is filed under the name uncultured bacterium. RNAcentral describes it as "partial 16S ribosomal RNA". It matches the Rfam family "Bacterial small subunit ribosomal RNA", at positions 28 to 507 of the family's 1533-position model. The record is from RNAcentral.